Molecule: non-coding RNA, 82 nt
Organism: Blumeria graminis
Lineage: Eukaryota; Fungi; Ascomycota; Leotiomycetes; Helotiales; Erysiphaceae
Source: Rfam
GGGCUCGUGGUUUAGUGGUAUAAUACUCCCUUAGCAACGCUGAGAAUGGGAGUGGUCCGGGGUUCGAUUCCCCGCGAGUCCA